GUUAUAUAGUUAAGUGACUAAGCGCAUACGGUGGAUGCCUUGGCAGUCAGAGGCGAUGAAGGACGUAGUAACCUGCGA
RNAcentral lists this ribosomal RNA (78 nucleotides) under Oleiphilus sp. HI0132. RNAcentral's name for it is "partial 23S ribosomal RNA". The record is from RNAcentral. Lineage: Bacteria; Pseudomonadati; Pseudomonadota; Gammaproteobacteria; Oceanospirillales; Oleiphilaceae.